This 207-nucleotide ribosomal RNA is filed under the name uncultured bacterium. Its description in RNAcentral is "partial 16S ribosomal RNA". It matches the Rfam family "Bacterial small subunit ribosomal RNA", at positions 1294 to 1500 of the family's 1533-position model. The record is from RNAcentral.
CGGAUUGCAGGCUGCAACCCGCCUGCAUGAAGCCGGAAUCGCUAGUAAUCGCGGAUCAGAAUGCCGCGGUGAAUACGUUCCCGGGUCUUGUACACACCGCCCGUCACACCAUGGGAGUCGGAAAUGCCCGAAGUCUGUGACCCAACCUACGGGAGGGAGCAGCCGAAGGCAGGUCGGAUGACUGGGGUGAAGUCGUAACAAGGUAUC